GGUUGCAAUCAUACCAGCACUAAUGCAUUGGAUCCCAUCAGAACUCCGCAGUUAAGCGUGCUUGGGCGAGAGUUGUACUAGGAUGCGUGACCGCCUGGGAAGUCCUCGUGUUGCAACCC
Molecule: ribosomal RNA, 119 nt
Filed under: Helianthus annuus (common sunflower)
Lineage: Eukaryota; Viridiplantae; Streptophyta; Magnoliopsida; Asterales; Asteraceae
Source: RNAcentral